GCAUGUGGUUUAAUUCGAAGCAACGCGAAGAACCUUACCUAAGCUUGACAUCCCAAUGACAUCUCCUUAAUCGGGGAGUUCCCUUCGGGGACAUUGGUGACAGGUGGUGCAUGGUUGUCGGCAGCUCGUGUCGUGAGAUGUUGGGUUAAGUCCCGCAACGAGCGCAACCCUUGUCUUUAGUUGCCAUCAUUAAGUUGGGCAC
This 202-nucleotide ribosomal RNA is filed under the name Clostridioides difficile. RNAcentral's name for it is "partial 16S ribosomal RNA". It matches the Rfam family "Bacterial small subunit ribosomal RNA", at positions 937 to 1138 of the family's 1533-position model. The record is from RNAcentral. Lineage: Bacteria; Bacillati; Bacillota; Clostridia; Peptostreptococcales; Peptostreptococcaceae.